GCCUUCGUGGUGUAGUAGUCAGCACGCUGGGCGCGUGUUCCAGAGGUCCGUGGUUCGAAUCCCGCCGAAAGCA
Molecule: non-coding RNA, 73 nt
Organism: Stegodyphus mimosarum
Lineage: Eukaryota; Metazoa; Arthropoda; Arachnida; Araneae; Eresidae
Source: Rfam